CUGAAACGCGAUACUUGGCACGAUAUUCAUAGUAGCGUGAUGCAGUCAGCAGAAGACAGUCACAAAAUUUUGCAAAAAAAGAGGUAAAUGUGGUUUGUUUGAUUAUAUUUUAGAUAUUUCCUGCAUACAAAUCAAGAGCACAUUGGCCGCACAGUAUCAUGGAUCGUUUGCAUUUAGACCGAACGCAAACUAUGCAAAUAGCAAGCAAAUCAAAUGUUUAAACAGUCAAUCUAAAUCUGAGUUAAAUUAAAUGAAAAGCCGGUUUUGUUCAUAGUUCUGAGAAACGUAUAAAAUAGCUGACAAGCUUUCGAAAUGCAUCACUUCUCGUUGUUCAUUAUAACGUACACCUGCUGCUGCCUUUGACUUCACAAAAAAUGUUGGUUAAUUUGGUCCUUUUCUGUUUCUUGGCUUCGAUUAACGCAAACACUGAUUCUAGAACGAUUCUGUUGACACCGGUUUCAGUCCCUACAUUCUACACAACGGGCUACCAUUCUAAUGCAGCGGCUGCUACGGGUUCUCCGUUUGUACUUAGUUAUCCAACAAAUGCUGCAGUAACCUAUCAUACAAUCCAUGGACCACAGCUUGUUGCCCCUAGACCUUUAGCUUAUGCUGCCACUCCAACUUAUGCUGUGGCAGCUCAAAGCAAACCCGUAGACGGCAGUACCAGUGGUACAGUUCUUCCACUUCCAUUGGUCCGUUCAGCAUACACAGUUCCGGCAAACGAAUUGAUAUUUUCUCAAUAGAUUAUCUCAAACAUU
Molecule: long non-coding RNA, 758 nt
Organism: Wyeomyia smithii (pitcher-plant mosquito)
Lineage: Eukaryota; Metazoa; Arthropoda; Insecta; Diptera; Culicidae
Exons: 2
Source: RefSeq, a predicted model, not a curated record